This 429-nucleotide ribosomal RNA is filed under the name Acidobacteriota bacterium. RNAcentral describes it as "Acidobacteria bacterium partial 16S ribosomal RNA". It matches the Rfam family "Bacterial small subunit ribosomal RNA", at positions 355 to 776 of the family's 1533-position model. The record is from RNAcentral. Lineage: Bacteria; Pseudomonadati; Acidobacteriota.
UGGGGAAUUUUGGACAAUGGGGGAAACCCUGAUCCAGCCAUCCCGCGUGUGCGAUGAAGGCCUUCGGGUUGUAAAGCACUUUUGGUAGGAAAGAAACGUCAUGGGUUAAUACCCCGUGAAACUGACGGUACCUGCAGAAUAAGCACCGGCUAACUACGUGCCAGCAGCCGCGGUAAUACGUAGGGUGCAAGCGUUAAUCGGAAUUACUGGGCGUAAAGCGUGCGCAGGCGGUUCGGAAAGAAAGAUGUGAAAUCCCAGAGCUCAACUUUGGAACUGCAUUUUUAACUACCGGGCUAGAGUGUGUCAGAGGGAGAUGAAAUUCCGCGUGUAACAGUGAAAUGCGUAAAUAUGCGGAGGAACACCGAUGGCGAAGGCAGCCUCCUGGGAUAACACUGACACUCAUGCACGAAAGCGUGGGGAGCAAACAGG